CAAUAGCGUAUAUUAAAGUUGUUGCGGUUAAAAAGCUCGUAGUUGGAGUUCUGCCAGGUGACGCUCGUCCGCCCAAGUGGUGUGUACAGGGCGUGCAUCUGGCCCUUUCAAGGGGAACGUGUCUGCACUUUACUGUGUGGUGCGAGAUCCUUGACUUUUACUUUGAGGAAAUCAGAGUGUUCCAAGCAGGCUCUCGUCGUGUAUAGCUCAGCAUGGAAUAAUAGCAUUGGACUUCGUUUCUAAGCUGUUGGUUGCAAGAAGCGAGGUAAUGAUGAAGAGGGAUAGUUGGGGGCAUUCGUAUUUAACUGUCAGAGGUGAAAUUCUUGGAUUUGUUAGAGACGGACUACUGCGAAAGCAUCUGCCAUGGAUGUUUUCAUUGA
This 380-nucleotide ribosomal RNA is filed under the name uncultured eukaryote. RNAcentral's name for it is "partial 18S ribosomal RNA". It matches the Rfam family "Eukaryotic small subunit ribosomal RNA", at positions 592 to 976 of the family's 1831-position model. The record is from RNAcentral.